RNAcentral lists this ribosomal RNA (798 nucleotides) under uncultured bacterium. RNAcentral describes it as "bacterial SSU rRNA". The stretch from base 30 to 589 matches the Rfam family "Bacterial small subunit ribosomal RNA", at positions 9 to 546 of the family's 1533-position model. The record is from RNAcentral.
AGCCGGUACUCGCGAAUGAACCUACGCUUAAGUUUGAUCAUGGCUCAGAGCCCAACGCUGUAGGUAGGCCUAACACAUGCAAGUCGAACGGCAGCACAGGAGAGCUUGCUCUCUGGGUGGCGAGUGGCGGACGGGUGAGGAAUACACCGGAAUCUACUCAUGUCGUGGGGGAUAACGUAGGGAAACUUACGCUAAUACCGCAUACGACCUACGGGUGAAAGCAGGGGAUCUUCGGACCUUGACGCGAUUGAAUGAGCCGAUGUCGGAUUAGCUAGUUGGCGGGGUAAAGGCCCACCAAGGCGACGAUCCGUAGCUGGUCUGAGAGGAUGAUCAGCCACACUGGAACUGAGACACGGUCCAGACUCCUACGGGAGGCAGCAGCUGGGGAAUAUUGGACAAUGGGCGCAAGCCUGAUCCAGCCAUACCGCGUGGGUGAAGCAAGGCCUUCGGGUUGUAAAGCCCUUUUGUUGGGAAAGAAAUCCAGCCGGCUAAUACCUGGUUGGGAUGACGGUACCCAAAGAAUAAGCACCGGCUAACUUCGUGCCAGCAGCCCGCCGNGUAAUUAACGAAGGGGUGCAAAGCGUUACUUCGGAAUUUACUUGGGGCCGUUAACAAGGCGUUGCCGUUAAGCGGUUGGUUUUUUCACGUCCCGGUUNGUGGAAAAGCCCUUGGGCCUUCAAUCCCUUGGGGAACUGCACGCUUGGGAUUACUUGGCGNUUGACUCGACUGUGGCUCGACAGGGUUAGCCGGAAAUUCCUGNUGNUAUCCGUUGUCAACUUGCGCGUUCGCANNACUCCG